GUCCACGCCCUAAACGAUGUCUACUAGUUGUCGGGCCUUAAUUGGCUUGGUAACGCAGCUAACGCGUGAAGUAGACCGCCUGGGGAGUACGGUCGCAAGAUUAAAAACUCAAAGGAAUUGACGGGGACCCGCACAAGCGGUGGAUGAUGUGGAUUAAUUCGAUGCAACGCGAAAAACCUUACCUACCCUUGACAUGGCUGGAAUCCCUGAGAGAUUGGGGAGUGCCCGAAAGGGAGCCAGUACACAGGUGCUGCAUGGCUGUCGU
RNAcentral lists this ribosomal RNA (265 nucleotides) under uncultured bacterium. Its description in RNAcentral is "partial 16S ribosomal RNA". It matches the Rfam family "Bacterial small subunit ribosomal RNA", at positions 793 to 1055 of the family's 1533-position model. The record is from RNAcentral.